AGAGUUUGAUCAUGGCUCAGAACGAACGCUGGCGGCAUGCCUAACACAUGCAAGUCGAACGCCUGUAGCAAUACAGGAGUGGCGCACGGGUGAGUAACGCGUGGGAACCUGCCCUGGAGUGGGGGAUAACCGAGGGAAACCUCGGCUAAUACCGCAUACGACCUGAGGGUGAAAGAUUUAUCGCUCUAGGAGGGGCCCGCGUCGGAUUAGCUAGUUGGUGAGGUAACGGCUCACCAAGGCGACGAUCCGUAGCUGGUCUGAGAGGAUGAUCAGCCACACUGGGACUGAGACACGGCCCAGACUCCUACGGGAGGCAGCAGUGGGGAAUAUUGGACAAUGGGGGCAACCCUGAUCCAGCAAUGCCGCGUGAGUGAUGAAGGCCUUAGGGUUGUAAAGCUCUUUCGGCGGGGACGAUGAUGACGGUACCCGCAGAAGAAGCCCCGGCUAACUUCGUGCCAGCAGCCGCGGUAAUAC
This 474-nucleotide ribosomal RNA is filed under the name uncultured bacterium. RNAcentral's name for it is "bacterial SSU rRNA". It matches the Rfam family "Bacterial small subunit ribosomal RNA", at positions 8 to 526 of the family's 1533-position model. The record is from RNAcentral.